GAUGAAGAACGUAGCGAAAUGCGAUACUUGGUGUGAAUUGCAGAAUCCCGUGAACCAUCGAGUCUUUGAACGCAAGUUGCGCCCGAAGCCAUUUGGUUGAGGGCACGUCUGCCUGGGCGUCACAUAUCGUUGCCCGAUGCCUAUUGCAGUGCAAUAGGAAUUUCUAGGGCGAAUGAUGGCUUCCCGUGAGCGUUGUUGCCUCGCGGUUGGUUGAAAAUCGAGUCCUUGGUAGGGUGUGCCAUGGUAGAUGGUGGUCGAGUUAGAACGAUACCGAUCAUGUGCAUGCUCCCCAAAAUAUGGCCUCUAUGACCCACACGCGUCUUUUGACGCUCAUGACGAGACCUCAGGUCAGGCGGGGCUACCCGCUGAAUUUAAGCAUAUCAAUAAGCGGAGGA
RNAcentral lists this unclassified non-coding RNA (395 nucleotides) under soil metagenome. RNAcentral describes it as "partial contains 5.8S ribosomal RNA, internal transcribed spacer 2, and large subunit ribosomal RNA". The stretch from base 1 to 122 matches the Rfam family "5.8S ribosomal RNA", at positions 35 to 154 of the family's 154-position model. The record is from RNAcentral.